CACACAAAGUGGUCUCCUCUUAACAUUUAUUCCUCAAGAGUGGGGAUUUUAUUUAAUGCAGAAUUUGCAAACUGAAAGGAUUCAUCUUUCAUAUGGUUUCUUCCUCUGAGGGUUUUUAAAAAGGAAUAUAUUUGUUUCAUAGCUUUCUGAAUGUAUAUUUGCCCUAAGUGCUCACUCCCUCACUCCUUCUCCCCAGCUUGUUUACUGAGGGAAUAAAAACUUGACCUUGACUUUAAGCUCUCUGGUUUUCCAGACUGUACAGUCAGCAGAGAGCAAGGGGAAAAAUCAAUGUGAACCACAUUAGACAAGGCGAAGGGUAAUGCGUAAGUGCUGGGAACUCGUCCUGAAAAUGGAAACGACUGAGGUAAUUCAUAAAGGAAAGCACAUCCUACUGAUACAUCCAUCUCCUGUGGCUAAAACCCCACUUCUCCUUCCUUCCCUCUGCCUUUCCCCUAUUUUCAACACAGCCUUGGGGCCAUCAGAAGAUGGGAACACCCCACGUGCAACAUGGACCUAGUGAUGGAGACCCUGACACGAGUUCUGGCCAUGUCCCCAGCCACCAGCUCUGUCCUCGUGCUGACUCUGGGUGUCACAGAGCUCCUGUUAACAUCUCCAAUAAAACAACACAUCACAAGAAUCAACAAGACAGACAGGCUUCUGGAGAAAGGAGGAGGUGGUGCCAGUCAGCAAGCAGCCACACAGUUAUGGAACCAGCAGCCCACCCACACCUGAGACUUGUAGGACUGUUCGGGGUUAGCUCCCAGCCACUGCAAAUGCUGGUCCUGAGCAGGGAACAGCUCUAUGCAAAGACCCUGUGCUGCCGGUGCACCUGCAGGUGCAAAGAACCAACUUGCAGCAGGAAUGGCCAUUCAUCACAUAAAUUAGUCCUGCAUACGUACAUCCUCAUUUGCAAAUAAUCCAUGUCUCGUCAGAUAAUUCCCUCCCUAUGCAAAGGCAAGUUAAGGAGAAGCAAACUGAAGUGAGCGUCAGGCUGAAGUCUUGUAGCAGGACAUGUGGUUGUGAAGAAUGCAGAGCAGGGUAACGUGAGAAGCCAGCUGGUAACGUUUCGUCACUUUUUCCAGGGUGGAAGAAUUUAUAGACCCUCUCUUCAACACAAAUCAUCUCUAUUAGCUUCUCCUGCUUUUAAAAUUGGGUUCUGCUAGCCUUUAUUUAUCAUGCUUUCUUGGGACCACACAAAUUAAACAAAAUAUGCGUG
This 1216-nucleotide long non-coding RNA is filed under the name Coturnix japonica (Japanese quail). RNAcentral describes it as "lncRNA (ENSCJPG00005014260.1)". The record is from RNAcentral. Lineage: Eukaryota; Metazoa; Chordata; Aves; Galliformes; Phasianidae.